This 949-nucleotide ribosomal RNA is filed under the name Streptomyces rhizosphaerihabitans. Its description in RNAcentral is "bacterial SSU rRNA". It matches the Rfam family "Bacterial small subunit ribosomal RNA", at positions 92 to 1055 of the family's 1533-position model. Lineage: Bacteria; Bacillati; Actinomycetota; Actinomycetes; Kitasatosporales; Streptomycetaceae. The record is from RNAcentral.
UUAGUGGCGAACGGGUGAGUAACACGUGGGCAAUCUGCCCUUCACUCUGGGACAAGCCCUGGAAACGGGGUCUAAUACCGGAUAACACUCCUGCCUGCAUGGGUGGGGGUUAAAAGCUCCGGCGGUGAAGGAUGAGCCCGCGGCCUAUCAGCUUGUUGGUGAGGUAGUGGCUCACCAAGGCGACGACGGGUAGCCGGCCUGAGAGGGCGACCGGCCACACUGGGACUGAGACACGGCCCAGACUCCUACGGGAGGCAGCAGUGGGGAAUAUUGCACAAUGGGCGAAAGCCUGAUGCAGCGACGCCGCGUGAGGGAUGACGGCCUUCGGGUUGUAAACCUCUUUCAGCAGGGAAGAAGCGAAAGUGACGGUACCUGCAGAAGAAGCGCCGGCUAACUACGUGCCAGCAGCCGCGGUAAUACGUAGGGCGCAAGCGUUGUCCGGAAUUAUUGGGCGUAAAGAGCUCGUAGGCGGCUUGUCACGUCGGUUGUGAAAGCCCGGGGCUUAACCCCGGGUCUGCAGUCGAUACGGGCAGGCUAGAGUGUGGUAGGGGAGAUCGGAAUUCCUGGUGUAGCGGUGAAAUGCGCAGAUAUCAGGAGGAACACCGGUGGCGAAGGCGGAUCUCUGGGCCAUUACUGACGCUGAGGAGCGAAAGCGUGGGGAGCGAACAGGAUUAGAUACCCUGGUAGUCCACGCCGUAAACGGUGGGAACUAGGUGUUGGCGACAUUCCACGUCGUCGGUGCCGCAGCUAACGCAUUAAGUUCCCCGCCUGGGGAGUACGGCCGCAAGGCUAAAACUCAUAGGAAUUGACGGGGGCCCGCACAAGCAGCGGAGCAUGUGGCUUAAUUCGACGCAACGCGAAGAACCUUACCAAGGCUUGACAUACACCGGAGAGCAUUAGAGAUAGUGCCCCCCUUGUGGUCGGUGUACAGGUGGUGCAUGGCUGUCGU